Molecule: ribosomal RNA, 496 nt
Filed under: uncultured bacterium
Lineage: Bacteria
Description: partial 16S ribosomal RNA
Rfam family: Bacterial small subunit ribosomal RNA
Source: RNAcentral
AUGCACGCUGGCGGCGUGCCUCAUCCAUGCAAGUCGAGCGAACAGACGAGGAGCUUGCUCCUCUGACGUUAGCGGCGGACGGGUGAGUAACACGUGGAUAACCUACCUAUAAGACUGGGAUAACUUCGGGAAACCGGAGCUAAUACCGGAUAAUAUAUUGAACCGCAUGGUUCAAUAGUGAAAGACGGUUUUGCUGUCACUUAUAGAUGGAUCCGCGCCGCAUUAGCUAGUUGGUAAGGUAACGGCUUACCAAGGCAACGAUGCGUAGCCGACCUGAGAGGGUGAUCGGCCACACUGGAACUAAGACACGGUCCAGACUCCUACGGGAGGCAGCAGUAGGGAAUCUUCCGCAAUGGGCGAAAGCCUGACGGAGCAACGCCGCGUGAGUGAUGAAGGUCUUCGGAUCGUAAAACUCUGUUAUUAGGGAAGAACAAAUGUGUAAGUAACUAUGCACGUCUUGACGGUACCUAAUCAGAAAGCCACGGCUAACUACGUG